This 462-nucleotide ribosomal RNA is filed under the name Streptococcus mitis. Its description in RNAcentral is "bacterial SSU rRNA". It matches the Rfam family "Bacterial small subunit ribosomal RNA", at positions 28 to 474 of the family's 1533-position model. The record is from RNAcentral. Lineage: Bacteria; Bacillati; Bacillota; Bacilli; Lactobacillales; Streptococcaceae.
GACGAACGCUGGCGGCGUGCCUAAUACAUGCAAGUAGAACGCUGAAGGAGGAGCUUGCUUCUCCGGAUGAGUUGCGAACGGGUGAGUAACGCGUAGGUAACCUGCCUGGUAGCGGGGGAUAACUAUUGGAAACGAUAGCUAAUACCGCAUAAUAGCAGUUAUUGCAUGAUAACUGUUUGAAAGGUGCAAUUGCACCACUACCAGAUGGACCUGCGUUGUAUUAGCUAGUUGGUGGGGUAACGGCUCACCAAGGCGACGAUACAUAGCCGACCUGAGAGGGUGAUCGGCCACACUGGGACUGAGACACGGCCCAGACUCCUACGGGAGGCAGCAGUAGGGAAUCUUCGGCAAUGGACGGAAGUCUGACCGAGCAACGCCGCGUGAGUGAAGAAGGUUUUCGGAUCGUAAAGCUCUGUUGUAAGAGAAGAACGAGUGUGAGAGUGGAAAGUUCACACUGUGACG